GGAUACAUCAGCACCUCUAUGUAGUUCUCAUGGCAAACUUACAGCAGUGGUUUCCCACCGCCUACUGGAAAUCAAGGGAGUGGCUGUGGCUCACUGGUAGAACAAAGUGCCUGGAAAGCUGAGUGUUGCUGGUUCAAUCCCCAGCCUCUCCCCACUCAGAAAUAGGCAACAGCAAACCACUUCCAUAGCUCUGCCAAGAAAACUGCAUAGUGGUGCCCAGCAACUACUGAAAAUCGAACCUGUAACUCUCUGCUUUCCAGGCAGUUUUAUCUUUUAGCUCGCGUGUCAAUUCUGCUGUGAAAUAUGGAAAGUGGAACUUUCCUGGCAGGGAGGGCUGAAUUUAAAUAUGUUUGAGUACUUUCUAUAGUUUAUCUUUUUAUUAUUGUGACCUAUCCUGAGACCGUUUGGUAAUACAGAUUCUUAAAAUAAAAUAAUAAUAAUAGUAGCAGCAGGAGUAAAAGGCUUCAGAGAAGCGAUGUUCAUGAAUGUAAAAUUGCCAGUUUGGAUCUUAACAAACCUGAACCAGCAAUCGGUUGGACUGUUCGACCAUUAAAAGUUUUUUGGCUCCUCCUUGCGCAUGCCGCCUCCCCCACAUCUGGGUCGGUCUCUUCCUUUUUUCCCACUGUACGCGCAACGUCCCUGUCGUGUCCCGCAAUUCAACUCGGUUUAGUACCGGACNGAACCCCCCCGCCAUUCAUUCCACAGAAAGCAGGGCGUAUCUCCUUACCCUCCCCGUUCCUCCCCAUCUCCAAAAAUGAUCAAUUUCUAGAUACGCUUAAAUCAUCCAGGAGAGUUGGAAACCCAAGUCCUGCUGCAACAGACUUGCUGACUGGUGGGGGAAUAUUCCUUAAUCCUUUUCGCAUUCCUUUUUAACUCUCUGGCUGCCCCCACCCAUUAAAGGAGGCGAGGUGAGACUCCUAGAGAGGCAGGAAGCUGCUCAGAAUGGGUCUCUGCCUGGAGAGAUGGCUCCAUCUCCUGGGGAGGGAAAAAAGCCAGCCGACUCCGAGGCGUGAGUUUGGCUGCUGGGAUGGAAGGCGGGGGGAAAGAGGUAAACACGUUGAGGCAAGGGGCUCGCCUCGUUUUGGACUUGUGGAGGAAGGAGAGAGAGACCCUUUUGCCUCCUCCUUACAUUCAUUAGAGCUACUGAUGCUGCAGUUCAGCAGCCAAAGGGGGACCCACCCAGAACAUCGCAGGAUCUUCUUCAAAGAUCCUUCUCGGAUCCAUCUGUUCUUUAAGGGCCACAGGGAGGAGGAGGAGGGCGAAGCAUUUGCCAAGAGCUGCCACUGGAAACCGUAGGAUAUUCCAGCUACUGCUUCCUACUUUGCCCUCCUCAAAAGCAGGGCCAUGGCUGCUGAGGUGCCAUGUGGAUUAUCUUCCUGUUGGAUUGGAGUAUCCUCCUGUUGGACUCUGCAGCCAUCACAGGUAAGUGCAGAUCACGACAGCCGAAAGCAUGGGGACACAACAGGUUGA
RNAcentral lists this long non-coding RNA (1470 nucleotides) under Salvator merianae (Argentine black and white tegu). RNAcentral's name for it is "lncRNA (ENSSMRG00000011545.1)". The record is from RNAcentral. Lineage: Eukaryota; Metazoa; Chordata; Lepidosauria; Squamata; Teiidae.